CUGCUGCCUCCCGUAGGAGUCUGGGCCGUGUCUCAGUCCCAAUGUGGCCGUUCUACCUCUCAGUACGGCUACUGAUCGUCGCCUUGGUGAGCCGUUACCUCACCAACCAGCUAAUCAGACGCGAGCCCAUCUUUAAGCGAUAAAUCUUUGAUACACAAACCAUGCGAUUCAUGUAUAUUAUGCGGUAUUAGCGGUCGUUUCCGACCGUUAUCCCACUCUUAAAGGCAGGUUGCUCACGUGUUACU
This 245-nucleotide ribosomal RNA is filed under the name uncultured bacterium. RNAcentral describes it as "partial 16S ribosomal RNA". The record is from RNAcentral.